GGAGCAAGCGUAUGUGACAUUUUCAUUGUAUUAGAUUGUGUUGAUCCUACUAUUUCUAGCAAUUUAAGGCAUCCCAUGAUGCACCAUUUUGCAGGGAUAGGUUUUUUUCGGACUUACCCUUAAGUUUUCUUCAAUGCAAUGAUUAAAUGAACUUGUUCUUUGUCUAAUUUCAGUAUUUCUUCCAUAUUAAAUUUAGCUGCCUUACUCACUUGUUCAGGUCAUUUUUGCUGAUUUUAUGGUAAUCUGUGAUCGGUUCCAUGAGAUUUAGAAAGUGAUGCAGGGACGCCUUAAAUCAUGCUCAACAAGCUGCUAGAGUGUUCAAAAACAGAAGCAGCCUGCGGUCUACCCUAUUGGAAGCACCAUCCGUUCUUCAACCCAACUACGAGUGGAUGAGUGUCAUUGACUCGAGGGCCUGCUGGAACAUUGGAAAUGGGCAAAGGGUGAAAAUGUUGGGUGACAACUGGUUCCUGGGUCAGGCUGAGUUUGAAGUGUGGAGUCCUGCCUCAACCCUAGUGAUUCGGUUAAUCGAAGAUGACGCAAACAAUGGAAAUUGUGAGUUAUUCUUCAUCUAUUUUAAUGCUGAUUAAGAAACAAAAGAUAAAGUUCUUAGAUGAUGAGAUUCCUCACAUGAUCACACUAUCGUCACCUCAUCAUACUCCCUCACCACUGCAGCAAACACGCUUACCGUUAAUGAAUGAAAUGAUUGAGCUUGGUGAGAUGCGGUUAGAACUGUUUCGUCUCAUUAACAACACCCAAGAAGCCAUUGAUGCUGAAAGAACGAGGAAAAUCGCAAUCUUGAUGUCAUUUAGAUAGUAACUAACAACUUUUUAUUCAUUUCAAAUUGAUUUUAAUGUUAUUUUGAAUCUAUGCUUGUGUCAUGAUGAGUAGGAUGAAACUCCUUCUUCAGGUAAUGUAUCUGUCUUUUUUGCACUGACUGUGUGAUCUAACAAUCAAAUUAUUUGUCCCACUCAUUUCUUACAUACGAUAAUCACGUUGCAGUUUAGGUCCUAUACAUUGCAUUCAUACAAAGUAACUUGAAAUAGAAAGAUAUUUAGUAUGUUGUUCUUUUUCCUUUUUCACAGACUUGCCAUAAAGGUUAUUGUCACUCUUUUAUGCUUAUAAUUCCAUCAUGUCUUGCUAAUUUCUUUACUCUAAAACGUUACUCUUAAUGUCUUUUCAUGUCACAAGUCUUACUAUAUUGUCAGAGUCUUUGCAGGCAGAUACCACAGCCUUGCUAUGCACGUGUCAUGAAUAGAUUAAAAUCAGUCUUGAGGUCCUUAUGAGAGAGUGGUUAGUCCUACCAAGGUUUCAUGAUUUGCUCACUUUACUGUGACAUGUCAUCACUGUACUAAAGCUGCUUUGGGGAUAAGGAUGCUUGACCAAGUGCGUGUUAACUCAUUGCUAUCUUUAUUUGUUAUAGAUUGAUGAACUAUUUGAUGGUUUUGUUUUAUUUCCCAACAUUAUUUUGAAUCCAUUAUUAACAUGAUCGUCGG
Lathyrus oleraceus (garden pea) is the source of this 1493-nucleotide long non-coding RNA. RefSeq lists it as uncharacterized. Lineage: Eukaryota; Viridiplantae; Streptophyta; Magnoliopsida; Fabales; Fabaceae. The transcript has 4 exons. The record is from RefSeq and is a predicted model, not a curated record.